GCCAGGCAUGGUGGCACAUGCCUGUAAUCUCAGCUACUAGAGAGGCUGAGGCAGGAGAAUCGCUUGAACCCGGGAGGUGGAGCUUGUGGUGAGCCGAGAUUGCACCAUUGCACUCCAGCCUGGGCAACCAAAGUGAAAUUCAAGAGAGGAAGUCUUUUUUUUUUUUUUUUGAGACAAAGUCUAGCUCUGUUGCCCAGGCUGGAGUGCAGUGGCACAAUCUCUGCUCACUGCAACCUCUGCCUCCCGUGUUCAAGCAAUUCUCCUGCCUCAG
RNAcentral lists this small RNA (271 nucleotides) under Macaca fascicularis (crab-eating macaque). RNAcentral's name for it is "Metazoan signal recognition particle RNA (ENSMFAG00000054835.1)". The record is from RNAcentral. Lineage: Eukaryota; Metazoa; Chordata; Mammalia; Primates; Cercopithecidae.